GUCAAUCGCUUCUUCCGGCGAGCUUCCGGCAAACUUCCGACGAACAUCCGACGAACCCUCGGCGAUGCUCCGGUGGACUUCUAGCAAACUCUUGGACUUGCAACGAUCCACUUGGCGAGUUCCGACGAGCUUCUUUGGCAAGCUCCUAGACUUCUCGGAUUUGUUCCCGUAGAACUUCCAACGACCAUCUGGACUUCCGUCGAACUCUCGAACCCCCAACGUGAUCAUGGUCUUGACUCUAGUGCAACUCCUACUGCAUGUCUUACUGCCAUCAUAGUUAAUCCUACACACUUAUCUCAAUAUAUAGAUUAGAUAACAAAUGACAAUUGACUUCAUCAUCAAAAUCCGAGAUUCAACAUUAAGAAGUGGAAUACAAACACCUUUGGCAAUAUUACCACCCGGGUUCAAUUUUCCAGAAAAGAACUAAUGACAAUGCAACAUGAGCUGCAACUUCAGCCCCAUGAUGAAAAUCAUAUCUACAAAGAGACAUAAGCCAGAAAUAACUUCAUGCAAGCCUUAAAGUAGGAGAAAAAAUUUGCAAAAGCAGAAGUCUUGACAGCAUUGGCUUACUAUAGGGGAUUCCAAUACUAAGUUUUUCUAUGCUUCCAUUGCUACUCGAAGGG
This 623-nucleotide long non-coding RNA is filed under the name Musa acuminata (dwarf banana). RNAcentral's name for it is "long non-coding RNA (MACU_LNC001933)". Lineage: Eukaryota; Viridiplantae; Streptophyta; Magnoliopsida; Zingiberales; Musaceae. The record is from RNAcentral.